RNAcentral lists this transfer RNA (69 nucleotides) under Neotoma magister (Allegheny woodrat). Its description in RNAcentral is "tRNA-Ile". It matches the Rfam family "tRNA". From Rfam's summary of the family: Transfer RNA (tRNA) molecules are approximately 80 nucleotides in length. Their secondary structure includes four short double-helical elements and three loops (D, anti-codon, and T loops). Lineage: Eukaryota; Metazoa; Chordata; Mammalia; Rodentia; Cricetidae. The record is from RNAcentral.
AGAAAUAUGUCUGAUAAAAGAGUUACUUUGAUAGAGUAAACUAUAGAGGUUCAAAUCCUCUUAUUUCUA